Molecule: small RNA, 58 nt
Filed under: Arabidopsis thaliana (thale cress)
Lineage: Eukaryota; Viridiplantae; Streptophyta; Magnoliopsida; Brassicales; Brassicaceae
Description: ATSL160710
Source: RNAcentral
CUUUUGUUUUGCUUUUUGACGCAUGAUAUGUAGGCUUAGAUCUGAUUGCAUAGGAUAA